This is a long non-coding RNA of Hyaena hyaena (striped hyena), 895 nucleotides long. RefSeq lists it as uncharacterized. NCBI's taxonomy places the organism in Eukaryota, Metazoa, Chordata, Mammalia, Carnivora, Hyaenidae. The transcript has 3 exons. The record is from RefSeq and is a predicted model, not a curated record.
CAAAUCAAGACAAAAAGUCAUCAGGAGCUGCUGUGGGAUAGCUGCCAUGGGUGUGCUCUGAGCCAGAUAUUGUAAGGCGAUCAAUAAGAAGAAAGAAACUGUGGCCUUUGUUUAUGAUCUGCUACAGGAGGCGAGCCUCAAAGACCUGUCACUGUCUUGCUGGGUGACAGUAGAUUCAGAAACUGAAGUUUAAAGAAAAGUUAAGGAAUUUUCUCAAGCUCCUGUGGCCAGAGGCAGGGUCUACCAGAUGUGGAAAUUCAUUCUUGAAACUUCUUGCUCUCCCACCUGACAGCUCUUAUAAGGAUCCUGGCAGAAGAGGCAGCUCCCAUCUGCAGCCUGCUGUCCUCAUGGCAGAGAACAGAAGCUCAAGAGAGAAAGAGGUCAACCAGCAAGCCCACUGAAACGUUCUGCUCACACGUGGUGUAAGUCAGAUCUGCUGGCACACCAGUGGGCAAAGCAAGUCACAUGGCUCAGCCUCAAGUCAAAGGGGCAGGAAGUAGGGCUGCCAAAAGCAGCGUGACAAGGACAGGGAGGGAAUAAACACAAACAAAGAACAGAGGCUGCUACAAUGUCUAAACAAUCCCAGACUGGAGUUAAUCUUUUUCCAGGACUCUUCUCAUUUUACUUUGAACAAAAGAGCUGAAAGAACAAAAAUUGUGUACAAGUUCAGAGUCAAUAAGACAUGCACUGAAAUCUGACUUCCUCUGCUUACUGCUGUGUAAGGCCAGCUGGCUAACCUUUCUGAGCCUCAGUUUCUGCAUCUGUCAAAUGGGACUAAUAACAUAGGUUUCACACGGUUGUUGUGGGGAUUAAGUGAGAUCAUACAGUGCUUGACACAUGGUAGGUCAUGAGCAGAUCCUAGCUGGUACCAUUAUAAGUACUAGUGAAUAUUAAA